GGGGAGUGAAAUAGAACCUGAAACCGUGUACGUACAAGCAGUAGGAGCAGGCUUUGUCCUGUGACUGCGUACCUUUUGUAUAAUGGGUCAGCGACUUAUAUUCAGUGGCAAGGUUAACCAUCUAGGGGAGCCGUAGGGAAACCGAGUCUUAACUGGGCGUUCAGUCUCUGGAUAUAGACCCGAAACCAGGUGAUCUAGCCAUGGGCAGGUUGAAGGUUGAGUAACAUCAACUGGAGGACCGAACCGACUAAUGUUGAAAAAUUAGCGGAUGACUUGUGGCUAGGGGUGAAAGGCCAAUCAAACCUGGAGAUAGCUGGUUCUCCCCGAAAGCUAUUUAGGUAGCGCCUCGGACGAAUACUACUGGGGGUAGAGCACUGUUAAGGCUAGGGGGUCAUCCCGACUUACCAACCCUUUGCAAACUCCGAAUACCAGUAAGUACUAUCCGGGAGACACACGGCGGGUGCUAACGUCCGUCGUGGAGAGGGAAACAACCCAGACCGCCAGCUAAGGUCCCAAAUUACUACUAAGUGGGAAACGAUGUGGGAAGGCUCAGACAGCCAGGAUGUUGGCUUAGAAGCAGCCAUCAUUUAAAGAAAGCGUAAUAGCUCACUGGUCGAGUCGGCCUGCGCGGAAGAUGUAACGGGGCUAAGUA
RNAcentral lists this ribosomal RNA (652 nucleotides) under Vibrio parahaemolyticus. RNAcentral's name for it is "partial 23S ribosomal RNA". It matches the Rfam family "Bacterial large subunit ribosomal RNA", at positions 533 to 1188 of the family's 2925-position model. The record is from RNAcentral. Lineage: Bacteria; Pseudomonadati; Pseudomonadota; Gammaproteobacteria; Vibrionales; Vibrionaceae.